UACGUAGGGUGCGAGCGUUAAUCGGAAUUACUGGGCGUAAAGCGUGCGCAGGCGGUUGUGCAAGACAGAUGUGAAAUCCCCGGGCUUAACCUGGGAACUGCAUUUGUGACUGCACGGCUAGAGUGCGUCAGAGGGGGGUAGAAUUCCACGUGUAGCAGUGAAAUGCGUAGAUAUGUGGAGGAAUACCGAUGGCGAAGGCAGCCCCCUGGGAUAACACUGACGCUCAUGCACGAAAGCGUGGGGAGCAAACAGG
RNAcentral lists this ribosomal RNA (253 nucleotides) under uncultured bacterium. RNAcentral's name for it is "partial 16S ribosomal RNA". It matches the Rfam family "Bacterial small subunit ribosomal RNA", at positions 524 to 776 of the family's 1533-position model. The record is from RNAcentral.